GAUGAACGCUGGCUACAGGCUUAACACAUGCAAGUCGAGGGGAAACGGCAUUGGGUGCUUGCACCGAAUGGACGUCGACCGGCGCACGGGUGAGUAACGCGUAUCCAACCUUCCCGUUACUGCGGGAUAACCUGCCGAAAGGCAGACUAAUACCGCAUGUUCUUCGAUGACGGCAUCAGAUUCGAAGCAAAGAUCCGUCGGUAACGGAGGGGGAUGCGUCUGAUUAGCUUGUUGGCGGGGCGACGGCCCACCAAGGCGACGAUCAGUAGGGGUUCUGAGAGGAAGGUCCCCCACAUUGGAACUGAGACACGGUCCAAACUCCUACGGGAGGCAGCAGUGAGGAAUAUUGGUCAAUGGGCGGAAGCCUGAACCAGCCAAGUAGCGUGCAGGAUGACGGCCCUACGGGUUGUAAACUGCUUUUAUGCGGGGAUAAAGUGAGGGACGCGUCCCUUUUUGCAGGUACCG
RNAcentral lists this ribosomal RNA (465 nucleotides) under Prevotella sp. oral taxon G57. Its description in RNAcentral is "bacterial SSU rRNA". It matches the Rfam family "Bacterial small subunit ribosomal RNA", at positions 28 to 480 of the family's 1533-position model. The record is from RNAcentral. Lineage: Bacteria; Pseudomonadati; Bacteroidota; Bacteroidia; Bacteroidales; Prevotellaceae.